ACGGGUGAGUAACGCGUGGGAAUCUACCCAUCUCUACGGAACAACUCCGGGAAACUGGAGCUAAUACCGUAUACGUCCUUCGGGAGAAAGAUUUAUCGGAGAUGGAUGAGCCCGCGUUGGAUUAGCUAGUUGGUGGGGUAAUGGCCUACCAAGGCGACGAUCCAUAGCUGGUCUGAGAGGAUGAUCAGCCACACUGGGACUGAGACACGGCCCAGACUCCUACGGGAGGCAGCAGUGGGGAAUAUUGGACAAUGGGCGCAAGCCUGAUCCAGCCAUGCCGCGUGAGUGAUGAAGGCCCUAGGGUUGUAAAGCUCUUUCAACGGUGAAGAUAAUGACGGUAACCGUAGAAGAAGCCCCGGCUAACUUCGUGCCAGCAGCCGCGGUAAUACGAAGGGGGCUAGCGUUGUUCGGAAUUACUGGGCGUAAAGCGCACGUAGGCGGAUACUUAAGUCAGGGGUGAAAUCCCGGGGCUCAACCCCGGAACUGCCUUUGAUACUGGGUAUCUCGAGUCCGGAAGAGGUGAGUGGAAUUCCGAGUGUAGAGGUGAAAUUCGUAGA
Molecule: ribosomal RNA, 557 nt
Filed under: Mesorhizobium sp. RDB-060
Lineage: Bacteria; Pseudomonadati; Pseudomonadota; Alphaproteobacteria; Hyphomicrobiales; Phyllobacteriaceae
Also listed under: 27 other names
Description: bacterial SSU rRNA
Rfam family: Bacterial small subunit ribosomal RNA
Source: RNAcentral